RNAcentral lists this ribosomal RNA (477 nucleotides) under uncultured bacterium. RNAcentral describes it as "partial 16S ribosomal RNA". It matches the Rfam family "Bacterial small subunit ribosomal RNA", at positions 28 to 507 of the family's 1533-position model. The record is from RNAcentral.
GAUUAACGCUGGCGGCGUGCAUAACACAUGCAAGUCGAACGAUGAAACUUAACUGAUUUCUUCGGAAUGAUUUUAAGUGGAUUAGUGGCGGACGGGUGAGUAACGCGUGAGUAACCUGCCUUGGAGAAGGGGAUAGCCUUUGGAAACGAAGAAUAAUACCCUAUGAUAUGAUAAUAUCCCAUGAUAUUAUCAUCAAAGAUUUAUCGCUCUAAGAUGGACUUGCGUCUGUUUAGUUAGUUGGUGAGGUAACAGCUCACCAAGGCAGCGAUCAGUAGCCGGCUUGAGAGAGUGUACGGCCACAUUGGGACUGAGACACGGCCCAGACUCCUACGGGAGGCAGCAGUGGGGAAUUUUGCACAAUGGGGGAAACCCUGAUGCAGCGACGCCGCGUGAUUUAGAAGGCCUUCGGGUUGUAAAAAUCUUUUGUAUGGGAAGAAAAUGACAGUACCAUACGAAUAAGGACCGGCUAAUUACGUG